UACGGGGGGGGCAAGCGUUGUUCGGAAUUACUGGGCGUAAAGGGCUCGUAGGUGGCCAACUAAGUCGGACGUGAAAUCCCUCAGCUUAACUGGGGAACUGCGUCCGAUACUGGAUGGCUUGAGUUUGGGAGAGGGAUGCGGAAUUCCAGGUGUAGCGGUGAAAUGCGUAGAUAUCUGGAGGAACACCGGUGGCGAAGGCGGCAUCCUGGACCGGCAUUGACGCUGAGGCGCGAAAGCCAGGGGAGCAAACGGG
Molecule: ribosomal RNA, 253 nt
Filed under: uncultured bacterium
Lineage: Bacteria
Description: partial 16S ribosomal RNA
Rfam family: Bacterial small subunit ribosomal RNA
Source: RNAcentral